This 216-nucleotide long non-coding RNA is filed under the name Capsicum annuum. RNAcentral's name for it is "long non-coding RNA (CANN_LNC022135)". The record is from RNAcentral. Lineage: Eukaryota; Viridiplantae; Streptophyta; Magnoliopsida; Solanales; Solanaceae.
UUCGCGAAAUGCAGAAUUUGAAGGAAUAGAUAUUAUAUUGCAGAUUUGCUUAACUUUAGACUAUACGAUUAGCAUUUGAACAUGCAAAAAUAAUUUUUUCAUGAUAUCAGGAUAGAUUUUGUUGUAGCAAAAACAGUAGAAUAGGUUGUUAGAUUCUUAGUGAAUAUGCUAUUUCAAAUUCAAAGUAUGCAUCAUUGUAAAUAAAUAUAUUUGUUA